Molecule: long non-coding RNA, 202 nt
Organism: Ixodes scapularis (black-legged tick)
Lineage: Eukaryota; Metazoa; Arthropoda; Arachnida; Ixodida; Ixodidae
Exons: 3
Source: RefSeq, a predicted model, not a curated record
CGUAUUACGGAGUCUACUGCGCGGCCAAGUGGAGUAACAGUUCUUCAAAAGAACUCGGAGUGCUUAUUCUUCCGGUUUCCAACAAACGGCGGCAUCGAAAUGGAUUGCGUAUGCAAAGCGCCAGGACUUUGGAAACCUGCCGUCUCACGCCCUACUUUCUGCCACUUGCGACUUGUGGCGCUAGUUUCUCCUUACCACGGUG